RNAcentral lists this long non-coding RNA (396 nucleotides) under Salmo salar (Atlantic salmon). RNAcentral describes it as "lncRNA (ENSSSAG00000121062.1)". The record is from RNAcentral. Lineage: Eukaryota; Metazoa; Chordata; Actinopteri; Salmoniformes; Salmonidae.
ACCGACCCGUCUGCUUGCCUUCACAUGUAGAACUGUGCAGAGACGCAGCUAGCUAUCUUGCUUGUUUUGAAAUUAGUUGGCGAGGUAAUUUAGCCGGCGUGGUAACUUAGCCAGCUAGCUAAUAAACACGUUUAGCCAGCUAGCUAAUAAACACGUUUAGCCAGCUAGCUAAUAAACACGUUUACCCAGCUAGCUAAUUAAAGCGAUUAUCUAGGAACUUUGAAACUACUUAACAAACCAGGUUGUCCUGAGGUUCGCUACUCUGAAGAAGACUGAUCGAAGCUGAGAUGAACCAAUUUGAACAUCUGAAAGAUGACGACCCAGGGUAUCAGCAGUGUUUGGGUGUAUAAUGGGUGUAUAUUCUCUCCCCCCAGUCUGAAAGAUGACGACCCAGGG